UACGUACCGUCCAAACGUUAUUCGGAAUUACUGGGCUUAAAGGGUACGUAGGCGGCGCUGUCAGUCGGGUGUGAAAUCCCAGGGCUCAACCCUGGAACUGCGCCCGAUACUGCAGUGCUUGAGGGAGACAGAGGUAAGCGGAACUGAUGGUGGAGCGGUGAAAUGCGUUGAUAUCAUCAGGAACACCAGUGGCGAAAGCGGCUUACUGGGUCUCUUCUGACGCUGAGGUACGAAAGCCAGGGGAGCAAACGGG
This 253-nucleotide ribosomal RNA is filed under the name uncultured bacterium. Its description in RNAcentral is "partial 16S ribosomal RNA". It matches the Rfam family "Bacterial small subunit ribosomal RNA", at positions 524 to 776 of the family's 1533-position model. The record is from RNAcentral.